UACGUAGGGGGCUAGCGUUGUCCGGAAUCAUUGGGCGUAAAGCGCGUGUAGGCGGUCCGGUAAGUCCGCUGUGAAAGUCGGGGGCUCAACCCUCGGAUGCCGGUGGAUACUGUCGGGCUUGAGUACGGAAGAGGCGAGUGGAAUUCCUGGUGUAGCGGUGAAAUGCGUAGAUAUCUGGAGGAAUACCGGUGGCGAAGGCGGCAUCCUGGACCAUAACUGACGCUGAGGCGCGAAAGCUAGGGGAGCAAACGGG
Molecule: ribosomal RNA, 253 nt
Filed under: uncultured bacterium
Lineage: Bacteria
Description: partial 16S ribosomal RNA
Rfam family: Bacterial small subunit ribosomal RNA
Source: RNAcentral